RNAcentral lists this transfer RNA (85 nucleotides) under Pseudomonas fluorescens. RNAcentral's name for it is "tRNA-Gly". The record is from RNAcentral. Lineage: Bacteria; Pseudomonadati; Pseudomonadota; Gammaproteobacteria; Pseudomonadales; Pseudomonadaceae.
UGCGGGCGCUGGUGGAGGCAGGUCUCGACCGGCUUCCCCUGCCCGGCAGUGGCCGGACCCUGGAGCGUUUCCAGGCGCUGGCCGC